UACAAUAAUAACUAAUUUUUUAUUGCCUCUAGGGCAUAUUUCCAACAAGUAUGUCUAGAGGGGGGGGGCGAUUAGAGUACUUGACAAGAUAAAAACUUAGCCUUUUCCUAGUUUUAGUUGAGGGCCAGUUGUAAUGCCCAAGAUGCGAUCGUAUCCUUAUUUUGGCACGAGGGCCACGACAGGGAUAGAAACACAUCUCGUCGUUUUCGCAAGAAUGGAUAUCAUUACAAGUACAUGUACUGAAAAGAUGAGUAUAAGGAGUUGGCUUAGACUCGCCAGAAGAUCCAUCAAUAUCACAUCAAUACAUCAAUAUAAAAUCAUCAUGAAGAGGAGUAGGGUCCGACUACUCACGAAAACAAACGAUAAAAGAACGACAUCCAUCCUUGCUAUCCGAGGCUACCGUCCUGGAGGCCAUCCU
This 418-nucleotide long non-coding RNA is filed under the name Hordeum vulgare. RNAcentral's name for it is "long non-coding RNA (HVUL_LNC003970)". Lineage: Eukaryota; Viridiplantae; Streptophyta; Magnoliopsida; Poales; Poaceae. The record is from RNAcentral.